Molecule: ribosomal RNA, 253 nt
Filed under: uncultured bacterium
Lineage: Bacteria
Description: partial 16S ribosomal RNA
Rfam family: Bacterial small subunit ribosomal RNA
Source: RNAcentral
CACGUAGGAGGCGAGCGUUGUCCGGAAUCAUUGGGCGUAAAGAGCGCGCAGGCGGCUUGGCAAGUCGGGUGUGAAAUCCCGGGGCUCAACCCCGUGACUGCAUUCGAUACUGUCAGGCUAGAGGUAGGUAGGGGAGAUCGGAAUUCCUGGUGUAGCGGUGAAAUGCGCAGAUAUCAGGAGGAACACCGGUGGCGAAGGCGGCCACCUGGACGGAUACUGACGCUGAGACGCGAAAGCGUGGGGAGCAAACAGG